GACGAACGCUGGCGGCGCGCCUAACACAUGCAAGUCGAACGGAGCUGAGAGAAGCUUGCUUUUCUUAGCUUAGUGGCGAACGGGUGAGUAACGCGUGAGUAACCUGCCCUGGAGUGGGGGACAACAGUUGGAAACGACUGCUAAUACCGCAUAAGCCCACGAUCCGGCAUCGGAUUGAGGGAAAAGGAUUUAUUCGCUUCAGGAUGGACUCGCGUCCAAUUAGCUAGUUGGUGAGGUAACGGCCCACCAAGGCGACGAUUGGUAGCCGGACUGAGAGGUUGAACGGCCACAUUGGGACUGAGACACGGCCCAGACUCCCACGGGAGGCAGCAGUGGGGGAUAUUGCACAAUGGGGGAAACCCUGAUGCAGCGACGCCGCGUGGAGGAAGAAGGUUUUCGGAUUGUAAACUCCUGUCGUUAGGGACGAUAAUGACGGUACCUAACAAGAAAGCACCGGCUAACUACGUG
RNAcentral lists this ribosomal RNA (468 nucleotides) under uncultured bacterium. RNAcentral describes it as "partial 16S ribosomal RNA". It matches the Rfam family "Bacterial small subunit ribosomal RNA", at positions 28 to 507 of the family's 1533-position model. The record is from RNAcentral.